GAUGAACGCUGGCGGCGUGCCUAAUACAUGCAAGUCGAGCGAACGGACGAGAAGCUUGCUUUUCUGAUGUUAGCGGCGGACGGGUGAGUAACACGUGGAUAACCUACCUAUAAGACUGGGAUAACUUCGGGACACCGGAGCUAACACCGGAUAAUAUUUUGAACCGCAUGGUUCAAAAGUGAAAGACGGUCUUGCUGUCACUUAUAGAUGGAUCCGCGCUGCAUUAGCUAGUUGGUAAGGUAACGGCUUACCAAGGCAACGAUGCAUAGCCGACCUGAGAGGGUGAUCGGCCACACUGGAACUGAGACACGGUCCAGACUCCUACGGGAGGCAGCAGUAGGGAAUCUUCCGCAAUGGGCGAAAGCCUGACGGAGCAACGCCGCGUGAGUGAUGAAGGUCUUCGGAUCGUAAAACUCUGUUAUUAGGGAAGAACAGAUGUGUAAGUAACUGUGCACAUCUUGACGGUACCUAAUCAGAAAGCCACGGCUAACUACGUG
RNAcentral lists this ribosomal RNA (497 nucleotides) under uncultured bacterium. RNAcentral describes it as "partial 16S ribosomal RNA". It matches the Rfam family "Bacterial small subunit ribosomal RNA", at positions 28 to 507 of the family's 1533-position model. The record is from RNAcentral.